CUAGGAACACGAUCAGUUCUCCAGCUCAUAUGAUUGUGAUUUCUGGUCAAAUGCGGAAACGUGUGGAGGGAGCAGCAGACUGUGUACAUAGGCACCAAGGAGGACAAAACUUCACCACAUAUCAAGGAGAGGAAUCACAGCGUGGGAAUUGGGAACACACUCUGGAUUGUUGGCACUGUUUCAUAGCUUUUUGUACAUAAACACACUUUUUUUCCAUUCAGAACGUUCCGCAUUUGGGUCCUCCUUCAACCAACCCUGACAAAGGUGGUUCCUAAAGACCUGUAUGCAGAAAACUUGGUAUAUUUGGGUACUGUGUUCUUUAAAACAAAUCUGUGGAAGCUGGACAAGUGGAGGGCAAAAGAAGAAGCGACAGGCCCAAAGAACUAUCUAGAUCAGCUAUUCCCGGCACACUUAAAAAGCCCAUGAAAAUCCCAUGGGGCUCACUCACCCAAUCUUAAAUCUGCACUCUAAGCAAAAUAUACAGGAAAUCAAUGUAUUUUCUGGAAAAGUUUAUUCCAAAACUAUUAACAGCACAGGCUGUUGGCUAUAAACUGACAAGUCAUACACAAAGUGGGAAAACCAAUGUUUGACCGACCUGCCACUGGGACACAAGUGACCACUUUCUAGCCCUUGUUGGCUUGAAAUAAAAUAUCUUCCUCUACUGUUACUGCAACAUACUGCAACUUCUGCAUGCAUGUCCUCAAAUGGAGAUGACCAACGUCUUUAUUACACGUUUUGCCCUGAUUUGGGGUUGGUUAUUACUGCUGCCCACCUGGACAACAUUUGCAAAAGGCUCCGACCACACUUUGGGAUUCAAUCAUCGAGAUCAGGGGUGUCAAGCAUCGAGACCAGAAUCGGCCCCAGACUCCAAUCUGGCCCACCAGAUAGUUUUGAAAAAUAUGAAGGAGAGGAUAAAUGUUGGACUAUUUACUACAUUUUCCUAAGUUUUAGAGCUUUGGCUACAAAUAAAGACCUUCCCCGUGGUCAGAAGAGGUCCUGUUUUUUUACAGUGUGUUUCCAUAAAAAGGGCCACCUGCAGUACCUUCGCAGCCCACCAAGCCCAGACUCCCACAGUCAGCCCACCUUUGCAGAUCUCAAUGCUUAUUGAUAGCCCAAACCUGCUGGAGCAA
Oreochromis niloticus (Nile tilapia) is the source of this 1130-nucleotide long non-coding RNA. RefSeq lists it as uncharacterized. NCBI's taxonomy places the organism in Eukaryota, Metazoa, Chordata, Actinopteri, Cichliformes, Cichlidae. The transcript is spliced from 2 exons. The record is from RefSeq and is a predicted model, not a curated record.